AUGGCAAAAUCUUCACAGAUGUUUGUCACCCUCAUGUGCCUUCUGCUUCUGUACACCAGCCUUCAUGUCCAUGGAGAAGUGGACACCAGUAUCAGAACAAGCAGCAUCCUAGUACAGCCAGCAAGGAGGGUUUUGCAAGCUACGUAUGUACCUCAGACAACUAUAACAAGACAGUGCAACAUAUGCCACUGCAGCGAUGAUGGUGAUAAAACUUGGUAUGUAACAACAUGCUGCUCUGAGGCAAUUUGCAAUGAUCCAGCCGAGCCAUCUGGCACUUGUACUUCUCGCAGAAUCUCAUGCGGCGGUUGUGAUGAAAAAACCUACAAGUAG
Molecule: ribosomal RNA, 330 nt
Filed under: Triticum aestivum (bread wheat)
Lineage: Eukaryota; Viridiplantae; Streptophyta; Magnoliopsida; Poales; Poaceae
Description: partial small subunit ribosomal RNA
Source: RNAcentral